Long non-coding RNA from Pistacia vera, 671 nucleotides. RefSeq lists it as uncharacterized. The record is from RefSeq and is a predicted model, not a curated record. Lineage: Eukaryota; Viridiplantae; Streptophyta; Magnoliopsida; Sapindales; Anacardiaceae. The transcript has 6 exons.
CUUCUGUUAGAUAACAGCACGCGUAUGUUAGCAUCCCGACUCACCACUUAUCUGUGUAGAAGAAAACCCGGACAUGUUCAAUACCGUAACUUCUCAUCCCACAAUGCCGAAGAUGAGCUCCCCUUAUUGAGCAAGAAAGGGAUAUAUUCUGAAAUAAUGUGCGGGGGGGUUUGGAUCGCUGAGAUUGCAACUUAUUUUGGUUAUACCUUUCAUGGGAGAUGAUUGGAAUAUGCAACACACUGUCUCACUUUUGAAAUCCAAUUAUAAACAAAUGGGAGCUCAUAAAUUAGCCCGUUAUACAACAGAUGAAUUCUCCUUAUGAAGCAUUAGUAUCCUGGAAUUCAUGACCCCUGACCAGCAGAGAUCCUUUCCAGCAUAGUGGGGAUGAGUUACCUCAAAGCAUUCUGAUUGUCGAUUAGGAGGUCAGGUUCAAUGGUUUGGUGAAGCUACUCAAAAUCAAAAGUCAAAACAGAGUGUGAUGUUAUUGAAUCACUUGGUUUGAAUUUACUACAUGAUGUAUGCGAGAAAUGUGGAGGUUUGCCCAUUGCCAUUGCUACUGUAGCAAGAGCAUUGAAGAACAAGACACAUUGGUUUGAAUGAGAAGAUGCUUUGUGAAAACUGAGAAUGCCUUCUCCAAUAAAGUUCACACCGUGGCUGGAAAAUGGAUAUUC